This 112-nucleotide Y RNA is filed under the name Cebus imitator (Panamanian white-faced capuchin). RNAcentral's name for it is "Y RNA (ENSCCAG00000004850.1)". It matches the Rfam family "Y RNA". From Rfam's summary of the family: Y RNAs are components of the Ro ribonucleoprotein particle (Ro RNP), in association with Ro60 and La proteins. The Y RNAs and Ro60 and La proteins are well conserved, but the function of the Ro RNP is not known. In humans the RNA component can be one of four small RNAs -- hY1, hY3, hY4 and hY5. The record is from Rfam by way of RNAcentral. Lineage: Eukaryota; Metazoa; Chordata; Mammalia; Primates; Cebidae.
GGCUGGUCCGAAGGUAGUGAGUUAUCUCAGUUGAUUGUUCACAGUCAGUUACAGAUCGAAUUCCUUGCUCUACUCUUUCCCCCUUCUCACUACUGCACUUGACUAGUCUUAA